GCUGGGCAUGGUGGCGCACACCUGUAAUCCCAGCAUCUCCGGAGGCUGAGGCAGGAGGAUAGUGAGUUCAAAGCCAGCCUCAGCAUCUU
Molecule: small RNA, 89 nt
Filed under: Marmota monax (woodchuck)
Lineage: Eukaryota; Metazoa; Chordata; Mammalia; Rodentia; Sciuridae
Source: RNAcentral